GAUGAGAACGUAGCGAAAUGCGAUAAGUAAUGUGAAUUGCAGAAUUCAGUGAAUCAUCGAAUCUUUGAACGCACCUUGCACCCUUUGGCAUUCCGAAGGGUAUGCUCGUUUGAGUGUCAUUGUACUCUCACACUCUCCGAUCCUAUGGAUUCGGGGAGCGGUGGACUUGGGUGUUGCUGCCUUUCCUUGUGGCUCACCUCAAAUGUGUCAGUGCACCUCUUGGUUGGACAUAGUACGGCGUGAUAAGUGUCUUCGCCGGCACCUCGCAAGAGGGUGGCCGAUCGGGAGCUCUGUGCUUUCAAACCGUCUUCGGACAAUUUCUGACAACUUGACCUCAAAUCGAGUAGGACUACCCGCUGAACUUAAGCAUAUCAAUAAGCGGAGGA
This 386-nucleotide unclassified non-coding RNA is filed under the name soil metagenome. RNAcentral describes it as "partial contains 5.8S ribosomal RNA, internal transcribed spacer 2, and large subunit ribosomal RNA". The stretch from base 5 to 119 matches the Rfam family "5.8S ribosomal RNA", at positions 40 to 154 of the family's 154-position model. The record is from RNAcentral.